Long non-coding RNA from Ornithorhynchus anatinus (platypus), 583 nucleotides. RefSeq lists it as uncharacterized. NCBI's taxonomy places the organism in Eukaryota, Metazoa, Chordata, Mammalia, Monotremata, Ornithorhynchidae. The record is from RefSeq and is a predicted model, not a curated record. The transcript has 2 exons.
AUGGAUCCGAAGUCCUGUAGGGAGAGGUACAAACCCAUACAUUGUACCAAAGUGCUAUCUCUUUGCCUUGGAUCCUCCAAAAUAGCUGACAGAUGUGGAAAAGAUGUACUCAAGCAGUUCCCCAAUGACUAUAUCCUACUGUUGUUGAUGAAAGACAGAAAGUUAUUUCAGUUUCCUUCAUUUUAACACAGCUACUCUGGAUGAGGCAAGUGAUGAAGAAAAUGAGUGGCACCAUGAUUCCCAAACAGCUGCUGUAUGAGUGCUGAAAUAAAACAAAAACAAAAAAAGGAGGAUAGAAGAAGCAGUGGUGUGGCCUAGUGGAUAGAAGAGGAAUAGGGAGUCAGAAGGACCUAAUCCCAGGUCCACCACUUCUUGAUUUCUUCCAAAACUUUGUCUCAUUUCAGCUUUAUGUAUGUCAUCCUUAUAGGUCAUUUUUCACUUAUAGGUCAUGUUUUCAUGUGAAAUUCCUGAAAACAGAGGAUCACUUUAUAUUUGACCAUUUGGUGACACUCAUUUCAGUUUAGAAAAAGCAGUUGUGUCUAUUUCUUUUUCUAUUCAUAAUUAAAACAAGAAGGAAGUUGGA